Molecule: long non-coding RNA, 903 nt
Filed under: Phasianus colchicus (ring-necked pheasant)
Lineage: Eukaryota; Metazoa; Chordata; Aves; Galliformes; Phasianidae
Description: lncRNA (ENSPCLG00000008119.1)
Source: RNAcentral
AUGCUAGUUUUACAGCUGAGGAAACUGAGGAAGAGAGAUGUGUCAGAUUCUUCUAUAAUCAACUUGUGUUUCACAAGUACAAAGUAUGCACAGACUGGAAUGCUUUUGAUCAUUCUCCCUCCUGUCUCGUCCCUCCAAGCCUCCCUCCCAAAAAAGCAGAUCUGUUGGCACCAAGUACUUUCAAAAUGCUGUAUGAGUUUGAGAAAUUAUAUCCUGACAGAUAAAGACUUACCCAAAUUCUGCAACCUUGCUUGCCUCUUGGGAGAGUGCUGCUGCUAUAGGGAAGAGAGUUGGAUAUGGCUUGGGCUCAGGCCACCUAAGGAAGGAUCUGGCUUUCAAUAUAAAAUUUAGAUUUUUAUUCUUUUUUACAAGUUCAAAGUUUAGGGUAAUUUGGAUUCAAAAGUUUGGUUUGGCUACUCCUGGGCUUUAUAUAUAAUAUUAGCAUCUCUGGUUGCUUCCCAGGAGUCCACUGAUGUCUUUAAAAGGAGUAUCAGCACAUGCAGAAGUUGCUAUUUUGGCAGUAGUUGAAGGUCAGUAGGCAAGGUUUACCUGUGCUUAAAAUGUGAAGUUAAUGCUUGGAAUUUUGGAAGGGUCUAAAAGUGUUAGCUAAUAUAUUAGUGCCAGUGCUAUUUAUGCUUCUGUGAAAGUCUCACUUUAGCUUACAUCAUUCUCCUCCCCUGGACCAGCAUGAUGAAGAAUCACUGCAAAAAAAAAACAAAAAACAAAACAGAUGAAGUUGCUGAUAGGGCCUCCACAGAAACCUAUGUUGAAGAAAUACACGGAAUCGAUACACUGUGUAGUUUCCUUGGUCAGCCUCCACUGUGGUUGUUUCCCACAGCCUGGCUGGUAUGGUUGGAAAUUCUUUUCUAUCUAUGAUGUUGAAUAAAGAUGAUCAGUUGAGCA